CAACCUACCUGGCAGGGGAAUAUUAGCCAUGAUCAAUAGGUGGCUCUUCCAGGGCAAGGCUGGUUCAUUGCACUGCAAGCCUGCUGACCUCUGCUAUUUCUCCACAUGUGGGAAACUCGACUGCACAACUUAUGGUAGGUGCGGACUGCAUGCACGUUUUCCCCUG
This is a small nuclear RNA of Bombina bombina (fire-bellied toad), 166 nucleotides long. RefSeq annotates it as U1 spliceosomal RNA. The transcript has a single exon. The record is from RefSeq and is a predicted model, not a curated record. NCBI's taxonomy places the organism in Eukaryota, Metazoa, Chordata, Amphibia, Anura, Bombinatoridae.